GCCGGAAUGGCCGAGUGGUUUAAGGCGCACGCCUGGAAAGCGUGUUCCCUCUGGGAUCCAGGGUUCAAAUCCCUGUUCCGGCG
This 83-nucleotide transfer RNA is filed under the name Haloquadratum walsbyi J07HQW2. RNAcentral's name for it is "tRNA-Ser". It matches the Rfam family "tRNA". From Rfam's summary of the family: Transfer RNA (tRNA) molecules are approximately 80 nucleotides in length. Their secondary structure includes four short double-helical elements and three loops (D, anti-codon, and T loops). The record is from RNAcentral. Lineage: Archaea; Methanobacteriati; Methanobacteriota; Halobacteria; Halobacteriales; Haloferacaceae.